CAGGGAUUGCCCUAGUAACGGCGAGUGAAGCGGCAACAGCUCAAAUUUGAAAGCUGGCUCCGGCCCGCAUUGUAAUUUGCAGAGGAUGCUUCUGGUGAGGUGCCUUCCGAGUUCCCUGGAACGGGACGCCAUAGAGGGUGAGAGCCCCGUAUGGAUGGACACCAAACCUGUGUGAAGCUCCUUCAACGAGUCGAGUAGUUUGGGAAUGCUGCUCUAAAUGGGAGGUAAAUCUCUUCUAAAGCUAAAUACCGGCCAGAGACCGAUAGCGCACAAGUAGAGUGAUCGAAAGAUGAAAAGCACCUUGAAAAGGGGGUUAAACAGUACGUGAAAUUGUUGAAAGGGAAGCGCUUGUGACCAGACUUGCGCCGGGCAGCUCAUCAGGGGUUCUCCCCUGUGCACUCUGCCCGGCUCAGGCCAGCAUCGGUUCUCGUGGGAGGAUAAGAACGGUUGGAACGUGGCCCCCCUCCGGGGGGGUGUUAUAGCCUACCGUACGAUACUCC
This 500-nucleotide ribosomal RNA is filed under the name Cytospora sp. RM-2019e. RNAcentral's name for it is "partial large subunit ribosomal RNA". It matches the Rfam family "Eukaryotic large subunit ribosomal RNA", at positions 69 to 581 of the family's 3401-position model. Lineage: Eukaryota; Fungi; Ascomycota; Sordariomycetes; Diaporthales; Cytosporaceae. The record is from RNAcentral.